This 294-nucleotide long non-coding RNA is filed under the name Trifolium pratense (red clover). RNAcentral's name for it is "long non-coding RNA (TPRA_LNC009321)". The record is from RNAcentral. Lineage: Eukaryota; Viridiplantae; Streptophyta; Magnoliopsida; Fabales; Fabaceae.
GAAAGGUCUGAAAAUUCCAAAAAAGGAAAAGUGAAGAGGUCAUGAAGUAGGGGUUUAGAAUUAUAAGUGUGUUUUUCCUAAAUUUACUAUUUUGUUUAACUAUUAGGCUGAUCAAACAAGAAUUGUUGUAACUAUCUGAUUACUCUUUUAGUCUGUUUUCGUAUACAAACGCUACGUGUCAUGUGUAUGAUCUUUUGGUUUUAGGUUACGAUGUUUUGGUCAAUUUGUGUCCUUGAACUUAUUCACAAAUGUAGUAUCAAUUAACUAUUAAAAUUGACUAUAUCUUAUUGNNNN